Molecule: unclassified non-coding RNA, 404 nt
Filed under: Hevea brasiliensis (rubber tree)
Lineage: Eukaryota; Viridiplantae; Streptophyta; Magnoliopsida; Malpighiales; Euphorbiaceae
Source: RNAcentral
CAGAGCGGUCAGAGCGCGGCCCGAUAACGCCCGGGCGGCUUUCCGUCCCGGCUCCAUCUCAUAACGUGUUUGAAACGGCAUCCAUGGUCGCCCUCAGCGAGAGCGAAUGCCGCUCAUGUCAGCAAAUUUCGCUUGGCCGGACGGCUGAUCUGUGGAAUGUGCGAGCGCAAUUCGAAUUUCAGCCGGGAGAUGGUUCGUGGGCGCAGCGAUGAAUCUUGAAGACUACCUGAAGCUCGUCGGCACGGAGCUCGGUGUUUCGGAGUGGCAUACCAUCGAUCAGAAACAGAUCGACGCAUUCGCCGAUGCGACCGAAGACUUUCAGUUCAUUCACAUCGACCCGGAGAGGGCAAAGCGUGAGACGCCGUUUGGCGGGACCAUUGCGCACGGAUUUCUCUCUCUGUCGG